This 104-nucleotide ribosomal RNA is filed under the name uncultured bacterium. Its description in RNAcentral is "partial 16S ribosomal RNA". It matches the Rfam family "Bacterial small subunit ribosomal RNA", at positions 1379 to 1482 of the family's 1533-position model. The record is from RNAcentral.
CCUUGUACACACCGCCCGUCACACCACGAAAGCUGGUUGCACCAGAAGCCGGUGACCCAACCGCAAGGAGGGAGCCGUCCAGGGUUUGACUAGUGAUUGGGGUG